UAUAAAGUGACGCACGUAACGCGCGCUUCCUUUCAGCCAGCGGAAGCUCGUGAGGAGGUGAAAUGGACCCUAAAGUGCUCAAAUUUUCCUCUGGUCUGGAUUCAGCUCCUAACCAUGACCCAUGUGGGUGACCUGCUGCUUCUGUGCCAUGGGGGAGGACCUCUGUGCUGACGUUGAGUGACGGAUGAAGUGAAUCAUCCUGCCUGCUGGGGGCGCUGC
Molecule: long non-coding RNA, 219 nt
Filed under: Gouania willdenowi (blunt-snouted clingfish)
Lineage: Eukaryota; Metazoa; Chordata; Actinopteri; Blenniiformes; Gobiesocidae
Description: lncRNA (ENSGWIG00000017392.1)
Source: RNAcentral